GGCAGUCAGGGCAAGAGAAGCAAUCCUUCGUGGUACAUUUGUGUGUGAAUAUGUAGGAGAGGUACUUGAUGAGCAGGAAGCAAAUAAGAGACGCAAUAGGUCUGCCACAGAAGGUUGUGGGUACUUCUUGGAGAUAGAUGCUCACAUCAAUGAUAUGAGCAGACUGAUUGAAGGGCAGUCUCCAUAUGUAAUUGAUGCUACUAACUAUGGAAACAUUUCCCGUUAUAUCAACCACAGUUGCUCACCAAAUCUCGUGAAUUACCAAGUUCUCGUGGAAAGCAUGGAUCAUCAGCUUGCACAUGUUGGUUUUUAUGCAAGGCGAGAUA
RNAcentral lists this unclassified non-coding RNA (326 nucleotides) under Hevea brasiliensis (rubber tree). Lineage: Eukaryota; Viridiplantae; Streptophyta; Magnoliopsida; Malpighiales; Euphorbiaceae. The record is from RNAcentral.